Molecule: small nuclear RNA, 107 nt
Organism: Bison bison bison
Lineage: Eukaryota; Metazoa; Chordata; Mammalia; Artiodactyla; Bovidae
Source: Ensembl
GUGCUCACUUUGGCAGCACAUAUACUUAAAUUGGAAUGAUACAAAGAAGAUUAGCAUGGCCCCUGCUCAAGGAUGACAUGCAAAUUGGUGAAGCAUUUCAUGUUUUU